This 407-nucleotide ribosomal RNA is filed under the name uncultured prokaryote. RNAcentral's name for it is "bacterial SSU rRNA". It matches the Rfam family "Bacterial small subunit ribosomal RNA", at positions 355 to 776 of the family's 1533-position model. The record is from RNAcentral. RNAcentral also lists the same sequence under 1 other name.
UGGGGAAUAUUGGGCAAUGGACGCAAGUCUGACCCAGCAACGCCGCGUGAAGGAUGAAGGCCUUCGAGUUGUAAACUUCUGUUGUAAAGGACGAAGAUAGUGACUGUACUUUACAAGCAAGCCCCGGCUAACUAUGUGCCAGCAGCCGCGGUAAUACAUAGGGGGCAAGCGUUGUCCGGAAUCACUGGGCGUAAAGGGAGCGUAGGCGGAUGAUUAAGUUAAGUGUGAAAGCCUGGGGCUCAACUCCAGAAUUGCACUUGAUACUGGUUAUCUAGAGUGUGGGAGAGGUAAGUGGAAUUCCUAGUGUAGCGGUAGAAUGCGUAGAGAUUAGGAGGAACACCAGAGGCGAAGGCGGCUUACUGGACCACAACUGACGCUGAGGCUCGAAAGCGUGGGGAGCAAACAGG